Gorilla gorilla gorilla (western lowland gorilla) is the source of this 79-nucleotide microRNA precursor. NCBI's taxonomy places the organism in Eukaryota, Metazoa, Chordata, Mammalia, Primates, Hominidae. The record is from Ensembl.
CAGCCUGGGGAAGUCUUGGCAGGGAAGACACAUGAGCAGUGCCUCCACUUCACGCCUCUCCCUUGUCUCCUUUCCCUAG